Molecule: small nuclear RNA, 108 nt
Filed under: Mola mola (ocean sunfish)
Lineage: Eukaryota; Metazoa; Chordata; Actinopteri; Tetraodontiformes; Molidae
Source: RNAcentral
GUGUCUUACUUUGGUUGCACAUAUACUAAAAUUGGAACGAUACAGAGAAGAUUAGCAUGGCCCCUGCACAAGGAUGACACGCACAUUCGUAAAGUGUCUAGUGUCUAG